UCUUGGCCAGCCUUCUGAAAGGAAGAUUAAUACAAGAUGGCAUCAUGAGUUCACAUGUUCACAUGAUUAAAGGUAUUCCGGUAGACGAUGGGGAUGCGUUCCAUUAGAUAGUAGGCGGGGUAACGGCCCACCUAGUCUUCGAUGGAUAGGGGUUCUGAGAGGAAGGUCCCCCACAUUGGAACUGAGACACGGUCCAAACUCCUACGGGAGGCAGCAGUGAGGAAUAUUGGUCAAUGGGCGCAGGCCUGAACCAGCCAAGUAGCGUGAAGGAUGACUGCCCUAUGGGUUGUAAACUUCUUUUAUAAAGGAAUAAAGUCGGGUAUGUAUACCCGUUUGCAUGUACUUUAUGAAUAAGGAUCGGCUAACUCCGUGCCAGCAGCCGCGGUAAUACGGAGGAUCCGAGCGUUAUCCGGAUUUAUUGGGUUUAAAGGGAGCGUAGAUGGAUGUUUAAGUCAGUUGUGAAAGUUUGCGGCUCAACCGUAAGAUUGCAGUUGAUACUGGAUAUCUUGAGUGCAGUUGAGGCAGGCGGAAUUCGUGGUGUAGCGGUGAAAUGCUUAGAUAUCACGAAGAACUCCGAUUGCGAAGGCAGCCUGCUAAGCUGCAACUGACAUUGAGGCUCGAAAGUGUGGGUAUCAAACAGGAUUAGAUACCCUGGUAGUCCACACGGUAAACGAUGAAUACUCGCUGUUUGCGAUAUACUGCAAGCGGNCAAGCGAAAGCGUUAAGUAUUCCACCUGGGGAGUACGCCGGCAACGGUGAAACUCAAAGGAAUUGACGGGGG
This 781-nucleotide ribosomal RNA is filed under the name uncultured Bacteroides sp. Its description in RNAcentral is "bacterial SSU rRNA". It matches the Rfam family "Bacterial small subunit ribosomal RNA", at positions 137 to 919 of the family's 1533-position model. Lineage: Bacteria; Pseudomonadati; Bacteroidota; Bacteroidia; Bacteroidales; Bacteroidaceae. The record is from RNAcentral.